UACGUAGGGUGCAAGCGUUGUCCGGAAUUAUUGGGCGUAAAGAGCUCGUAGGCGGUCUGUCGCGUCGGCUGUGAAAACCCACGGCUUAACCGUGGGCCUGCAGCCGAUACGGGCGAGCUAGAGUUCGGUAGGGGAGACUGGAAUUCCUGGUGUAGCGGUGAAAUGCGCAGAUAUCAGGAGGAACACCGGUGGCGAAGGCGGGUCUCUGGGCCGAAACUGACGCUGAGGAGCGAAAGCGUGGGGAGCGAACAGG
This 253-nucleotide ribosomal RNA is filed under the name uncultured bacterium. Its description in RNAcentral is "partial 16S ribosomal RNA". It matches the Rfam family "Bacterial small subunit ribosomal RNA", at positions 524 to 776 of the family's 1533-position model. The record is from RNAcentral.